CCUACGGGAGGCAGCAGUGAGGAAUAUUGGUCAAUGGACGAGAGUCUGAACCAGCCAAGUAGCGUGAAGGAUGACUGCCCUAUGGGUUGUAAACUUCUUUUAUAUGGGCAUACCCCGUUCCACGUGUGGGAUUUUGUAUGUACCAUAUGAAUAAGGAUCGGCUAACUACGUGCCAGCAGCCGCGGUAAUACGGAGGAUCCGAGCGUUAUCCGGAUUUAUUGGGUUUAAAGGGAGCGUAGGUGGAUUGUUAAGUCAGUUGUGAAAGUUUGCGGCUCAACCGUAAAAUUGCAGUUGAAACUGGCAGUCUUGAGUACAGUAGAGGUGGGCGGAAUUCGUGGUGUAGCGGUGAAAUGCUUAGAUAUCACGAAGAACUCCGAUUGCGAAGGCAGUUCACUGGACUGCAACUGACACUGAGGCUCGAAAGUGUGGGUAUCAAACAGGAUUAGAUACCCGAGUAGUC
Molecule: ribosomal RNA, 460 nt
Filed under: uncultured bacterium
Lineage: Bacteria
Description: partial 16S ribosomal RNA
Rfam family: Bacterial small subunit ribosomal RNA
Source: RNAcentral